UCCUCCCUCUCUCUAAAUUCCCUUCUGCUAAAAUUUUACCCAGCUCUAAAUGUCUCAAAUAAAGAUGUGAAUCUUAUUUAUCAGGAAUGCAAAGAAAAAUCAUACAGAAAGACUCAUUUGAAGCCUAUUUGGUGUUGUUAUUGUUGAUUUUCAGUCUUGACAGGACUCUCACCUAUCUAUUUUUUGGAAUCAGCAGGGAAGUAAAGUCAGUACUUGAGUUGCAUGGAUCAGAAGUUGCACGAAGAACGUGAAAUGGCUACUGAGUUGAAAAGGAAUAUGGAACUUGAGUUGCAAAGGAAGUUGGAGCACGAGUUGUUGAGUAAGUUGGCAGAGGAGCGUGAACUCGUGAAUGUAGAAGUAGAGAAGAGGAUCCAUCUAGAAGUGGUAAAGAAGAUGGAAGAACAAUUUGCUACUUUCAUGACCAGAAUGCAACAGAUACAAGGUACUUUAACAAUAGUGUCGUUCAAAGAUGGUGUCGACCCAGGAGCAACUACGAGGCACUUAAUAUUUUGUUUAUUUUGGGGUCAUAUGUAUAUGCGUA
Non-coding RNA from Nicotiana tabacum (common tobacco), 541 nucleotides. Lineage: Eukaryota; Viridiplantae; Streptophyta; Magnoliopsida; Solanales; Solanaceae. The record is from RefSeq and is a predicted model, not a curated record.